Molecule: ribosomal RNA, 328 nt
Filed under: uncultured eukaryote
Lineage: Eukaryota
Description: partial 18S ribosomal RNA
Rfam family: Eukaryotic small subunit ribosomal RNA
Source: RNAcentral
CCCUUAGAUGUCCUGGGCCGCACGCGCGUUACACUGAUACAUUCAACGAGCCUAUAACCUUGGCCGAGAGGCCUGGGCAAUCUUGUUAACGUGCAUCGUGAUAGGGAUAGAUUAUUGAAAUUAUUAAUCUUGAACGAGGAAUUCCUAGUAAACGCAGAUCAUCAAUCUGCAUUGAUUACGUCCCUGCCCUUUGUACACACCGCCCGUCGCACCUACCGAUUGGAUGGUCCGGUGAAGCCUCGGGAUUGUGGUUCUUGCCGCUUUAUUGUGGCGUGACCGCGAGAACUUGUCUAAACCUUAUCAUCUAGAGGAAGGUGAAGUCGUAACA